GGCGAUCAGAUACCGCCCUAGUUCUGACCGUAAACGAUGCCAACUAGCGAUCCGCCAGUCGACUCAUCGCUCUGGUGGGGAGCUUCCCGGAAACGAAAGUCUUCCGGUUCCGGGGGAAGUAUGGUUGCAAAGCUGAAACUUAAAGGAAUUGACGGAAGGGCACCACCAGGAGUGGAGCCUGCGGCUUAAUUUGACUCAACACGGGGAAACUCACCCGGCCCGGACACCGUAAGGAUUGACAGAUUGAUAGCUUUUUCAUGAUUCGGUGGAUGGUGGUGCAUGGCCGUUCUUAGUUCGUGGAGCGAUUUGUCUGGUUUAUUCCGAUAACGAGCGAGACUCUGGCCUACUAAACAGUUGACGCAUUGCCACUGUGCGCACAACUUCUUAGAGGGAUUUUCGGUGUUUUCAACCGCACGAAAUUGAGCAAUAACAGGUCUGUGAUGCCCUUAGAUGUCCGGGGCUGCACGCGCGCUACACUGGCAAACGCAACGUGCCUGUCCUGCCCCGAAAGGAGCGGGUAAACCCCUGAAAUUUUGCCGUGAUUGGGAUCGGACAUUGCAACUAUUGUCCGUGAACGAGGAAUUCCUUGUAGGGGCGAGUCAUCAACUCGUCCCGAAUACGUCCCUGCCCUUUGUA
This 636-nucleotide ribosomal RNA is filed under the name Rotylenchulus reniformis. RNAcentral describes it as "SSU rRNA". It matches the Rfam family "Eukaryotic small subunit ribosomal RNA", at positions 1003 to 1664 of the family's 1831-position model. Lineage: Eukaryota; Metazoa; Nematoda; Chromadorea; Rhabditida; Hoplolaimidae. The record is from RNAcentral.